GUGGCUAGCGCCUCUCCUAAUAGUAUGGUGCCUACAGGGUUUCUCUUAUACCUUGACCUUGAAGUCUGAGCUUCGUUCAAAUAGAACUUCAUCUUUUUUUAACAACCUGCUUAUUGUUUUUAAAAUAACUGUCCCAGAGCUGUGGCAGAGCACUUGACAAUUAGGGGAAAUUCCAGCCUGUUCUUCAUAAAAAGCCAUCUCAAUUACACUGAUUUGGAAAAUGUUAUAAAUAGGGGGCUCGUCCGGGACACAGCUUGCGGGCAAUGGAUGUGUUCUUGAUGCUUUGAUCUGAAGCAUGUUUUCUGCUGCCCCUGUCACAGGCUCCACAGCAGAGUGGUUCUUCUGAUGAGGACGUGAGGCCACAGCAGAAAACAGACAGGAAGGGAGCAGCGGACUCCAGGCUUCUUCCAGGAGAUGACAGUGAUGGAUUAGUGAUGCUCACAAGUUCUUUGAUGCUUCUGCCAUCAAGAGAUGGGGUGUGUAAUCCCCUCCCCUUGAGCCCAGACUGACGGGCUUUGACUAAUAGUGUACAGUGAAACUGGUACCGUUGUCAUUUCUGAUAUGUCAAGGUAGUUUCUAUUUCCUCUCUUUUGGAGACCUGAGCUGCUACAUCCUAAGCUGGUUACAUAAGAAGCCUGAGGCUGCCAUGCUAUGAGGAGGCACAAGUCACCAUGUGGAGAGGCCAUGUGGACAGAGAGUGAGCUAUCUCUUCAGCCCCCAGCCCUUGGAGUCAUCACAGUUUAGCUUCAAACAACACUGAGCAAAGCAAAGUCACCUCUGCAGAACCCUGUGUGAAUUCCUGACACGUGAAAUUUCAAGAUACAGUAAUAAUCCAUAAUUGUAAACCAUUUAGUUUUGGGGAGGUGUUGUUACACAGAAAUAGAGAGCAAGCUUAUUGACUCUGUAAUCUUACAGGUGAGUGAAUUAGGUAAAGGUGAGGAAAGAAAUGACAUUCCAGGUGGAAGAGAAUAAACAGUGUAUUGUUUGUUUGUUUUUUGAGACAGAGUCUUGCUCU
RNAcentral lists this long non-coding RNA (1015 nucleotides) under Callithrix jacchus (white-tufted-ear marmoset). Its description in RNAcentral is "lncRNA (ENSCJAG00000075755.1)". The record is from RNAcentral. Lineage: Eukaryota; Metazoa; Chordata; Mammalia; Primates; Cebidae.